Molecule: ribosomal RNA, 433 nt
Filed under: uncultured bacterium
Lineage: Bacteria
Description: partial 16S ribosomal RNA
Rfam family: Bacterial small subunit ribosomal RNA
Source: RNAcentral
AGCGAACGCUGGCGGCAGGCUUAACACAUGCAAGUCGAACGCAUCCUCCGGGGUGAGUGGCAGACGGGGGAGUAACACGUGGGAACGUUCACUUCGACAUGGGAUAAUUUCGGGAAACUGGAGCUAAUACAGGAUAAGUCCUGUUGGGGCAAGGUUCGAUGUACGAGGUUCGGCCCGCGUUCUUUUAGCCAGUUGGGGGGGUAACGGCCGACCACGGCUUCGAUCAGUAGCUGGUCUGAGAGGAUGCUCCGCGACACUGGGGCGGGGACACGGCCGAGACUCUUACGGGAGGGGGCAGAGGGGGAUAUAGGACAAUGGGGGCAAGCCUGAACCAGCCAGGCCGGUUAAGUGAUGUAGGCCGUAGGGAUGUAAAGCUCGUUUGUCCGGGACGAUAAUGACGGUACCGAAAGAAUAAGCCCCGGCUAACUUCGUG